This 257-nucleotide ribosomal RNA is filed under the name uncultured prokaryote. RNAcentral describes it as "partial 16S ribosomal RNA". It matches the Rfam family "Bacterial small subunit ribosomal RNA", at positions 524 to 780 of the family's 1533-position model. The record is from RNAcentral.
GACGUAGGGCGCGAGCGUUGUCCGGAUUUAUUGGGCGUAAAGAGCUUGUAGGCGGUUUGUCGCAUCUGCUGUGAAAAUCCGGGGCUCAACCCUGGACUUGCAGUGGGUACGGGCAGACUAGAGUGUGGUAGGGGAGACUGGAAUUCCUGGUGUAGCGGUGAAAUGCGCAGAUAUCAGGAGGAACACCGAUGGCGAAGGCAGGUCUCUGGGCCACUACUGACGCUGAGAAGCGAAAGCAUGGGGAGCGAACAGGAUUA